AGUGAACGCUGGCGGUAGGCCUAACACAUGCAAGUCGAACGGCAGCACAGUAAGAGCUUGCUCUUACGGGUGGCGAGUGGCGGACGGGUGAGGAAUACAUCGGAAUCUACUUUUUCGUGGGGGAUAACGUAGGGAAACUUACGCUAAUACCGCAUACGACCUACGGGUGAAAGCAGGGGAUCUACGGACCUUGCGCGAUUGAAUGAGCCGAUGUCGGAUUAGCUAGUUGGCGGGGUAAAGGCCCACCAAGGCGACGAUCCGUAGCUGGUCUGAGAGGAUGAUCAGCAACACUGGAACUGAGACACGGUCCAGACUCCUACGGGAGGCAGCAGUGGGGAAUAUUGGACAAUGGGCGCAAGCUUGAUCCAGCCAUACCGCGUGGGUGAAGAAGGCCUUCGGGUUGUAAAGCCCUUUUGUUGGGAAAGAAAAGCAGCAGGUUAAUACCCCGCUGUUCUGACGGUACCCAAAGAAUAAGCACCGGCUAACUUCGUG
RNAcentral lists this ribosomal RNA (492 nucleotides) under uncultured bacterium. RNAcentral's name for it is "partial 16S ribosomal RNA". It matches the Rfam family "Bacterial small subunit ribosomal RNA", at positions 29 to 507 of the family's 1533-position model. The record is from RNAcentral.